CUACGGAGGGUGCAAGCGUUACUCGGAAUCACUGGGCGUAAAGCGCGCGCAGGCGGUCUUUUAAGGUGGAUGUGAAGGCCUACGGCUCAACCGUAGAACUGCAUCCAAAACUAUUAGACUAGAGUGUGGGAGAGGAAGAUGGAAUUAGUUGUGUAGGGGUAAAAUCCGUAGAGAUAACUAGGAAUACCAAAAGCGAAGGCAAUCUUCUGGAACACUACUGACGCUGAGGCGCGAAAGCGUGGGGAGCAAACAGGAUUAGAAACCCUAGUAGUCC
This 274-nucleotide ribosomal RNA is filed under the name uncultured bacterium. Its description in RNAcentral is "partial 16S ribosomal RNA". It matches the Rfam family "Bacterial small subunit ribosomal RNA", at positions 523 to 796 of the family's 1533-position model. The record is from RNAcentral.